RNAcentral lists this long non-coding RNA (9480 nucleotides) under Homo sapiens (human). Its description in RNAcentral is "SNED1 antisense RNA 1, transcript variant 1 (SNED1-AS1)". The record is from RNAcentral. Lineage: Eukaryota; Metazoa; Chordata; Mammalia; Primates; Hominidae.
GCAGUGGUAGCCGAAGAAGCUCUCUGGGCAGACGCACAGCUGGACGGGCAGCCGAGGCAGGACCUUGGUGGCCUCAUCCUCUGCUGUCUCCCAGCGCCUGCCACUCAGCAGAGGCCGUCUGCAACCCACAACUAUUGCUGGGGUAAAAUAGAAAAUUUUCUUGAAAAAUGCAACUUACCAAAACUGGCUUAAGAAGAAACAAUGGAGGGAAGAAUGUUAGCAUGACAGAAUAAUGACUUUCUGGAAGAGGAAGGACAAAGGCCACCAUAGCUCAUAUUAGGAGAAAUGAGAAGUCUUCCAGGAUCCCAGUGGAGAAUGUUCUCCACAAGUGGUAAGUGUUUGCAGUGGUGUGGGGUGGGGAGAGUGAGGUUCCUCUAUAUCCUACCUGUUGAUGAAGCUGAGUAGUGAGAGGUAGGCUGGAAACAAGGCCAACUGAUUUGGGUGUUGUCAUGACAAGGGUGCCAAGGUUAUUCAGUGGGGGAAAGAACAGUAUCUUCAACAAAUGGUGCUGGUAAGACUGGAUAUACUUAUGAAAAGUAUAAAGCUAGACCCCUACCUCACACCAUAUACAAAAAUUAACUCAAGAUGGAUCAAAGACCUAAUGUAAGAGCUAAAAUUAUAAAACUCUUAGAAUAAAACAGAGGUGUAAAUCUUUGUGACCUUGGAUUAUCCCAUGGUUUCUUGGAUAUGACACCAAAAGCAUAGGCAACAAAAGAAAACAUAGAUGAACUGAAUAUUAUCAGAAUUCAAAACAUUUGUGCUUCAAAGGACACCUUUAGGAAAUGAAAAGACAACCCACAGGAUGGGAGAAUGUACCUGCAAAUCAUAAUCAGAUAAGGGAUAUAUAUCUAGAAGAUAUAAAGUACUAUUACAACUCAAUAAUAAAAGCUUCAAUAGGCAUUACUCUAGAGCAGAUUUAGAAGGAGCCAAUAACAUACAAAAAGAUGCUUGACAGCAUUAACCAUUAGGGAGAUGCAGAUUGAAAACACAAGAUACCACUUUUCACCUGGCAGGAUGGCUGUAAUGAAAAAAGUAGAUAAUAACCCGUGUUGAUGAGAAAUUGGAACCCUCAUACAUUGCUAGUGGAAUAUAAAAUGGUACAGCUGCUUUGGAAAUAGUCUGGCAUUUCCUCAAAUAAUUAAACAAAGAAUUAAUAUACACACCAGCAAUUCCACUUAUACUACCAUAUAUACUCAAGAAAAUGGAAACAUGUCCACACAAAAAUGUUUAUGUAAAUAUUCAAAGCAGCUUUAUUCAUAAUAGCCAAAAAAGUAGAACCAAUCCCAGUGUCUAUCAACUCAUGAAUGGAUACAUAAAAACAAAUAAAAUAUUAUUUGGCAAUAAAAAGAAAUGAAGUUCUGAUCCAUGCUACAACAUGAAUAAACUUUGAAAACACUAUGUUAAAUGAAAGAAGCCAGUCCCAAAAGACUAUGACUCUAUUUGUAUGAAAUGUCCAGAACAGACAAAUCCAGGGGAGACAGAACAUAGAUUGUGACUGUCUGGAGCUGCAGUGGAUGGGGGGCUGGGGUGUGAGGGCUAAAGGGCAUGGAGUUUCUAUUCAGGGUAAGGAAAAAUGUUCCACAAUGGAUUGUGGUGAUGGAUAUACAACGCUGUAAAUAUAUGAAAAGCUACUAAUUCGUAUACUUUAAAAGAGUGAACUGCAUGGUGUGUGAAUAAACAGGGAGGGAAGGACAAAGGAAGGGAGGGGCCUCUGAGCCUGGACCCUCUCUGGAUGUGGGAAGCGCAGUGGUGGGGAAGAGCAAUGGGCACUGACAAGGAGCUAACAGCUGGAGGGGGCAAGUGGCCCAGCAGUUCUGCGACACUCUCUACUCUUGUGGUCCCGGACAGCUGUGCUGAGCCCCCAAUUCCUAUGCAUACUAAACCCCUCAGAGGUGUUCCCAUAGGGAAGAAGGCACUAGAAUUAAAGCGAGGGGGUUGCAGUGGGGAUGCUUAAGUGAGCUUGAGGAUGGAACCUGGGUGUGUGCAGCUGUCACAUCUGAAGGUGGAAUUGCUGUUGACGUGGUGUUUCCUGCCUGCAUGUUCCCGUCCUGUGGUGUCAGGGGACUUUCAGGGACUGUGGCAUGCAGAGGUAAGAGGGGGCCCGUAGAUGGCCUCUUCCUGCUUCUUUGUCCCUUCUGCAGAAACAGUGUGGAGUCCAAGAGAAGGGAAGCCUGCUGGAGUCGAGAGGCCAUUUCCCAGUCCAGCAGCAGCCCCUACCCAGGGCAGUACUCCACUGCACCCCCUUUAAGGUGGGGUGGCUACUGGCCUGCAGCGAGCACUUGUAGAAGUAGAGUGUGACCCUUGAGGGCUCUGUGACUCACUGACCUGACACCCCCAUUUUGGGGGUUUUAAACUUGAUCACAUAAGGGCAGCGCCCAACAGGUCCUGGUGGCCUAAAGGAAAUGGUAUGUUCAAGAGUACCAAAGCCAAGAGCCAUCUUGGAUUUACAAGAAAAAUGGCAGCUACCCCUUGGGGAAGCUCACCUUCCGGUCCAGUGCCUGACGUGAGCCACUGGCUCUGCGGGGUGCUCGAGUCACGGGGCCCCCGAUGCCUGGGCCUGGUUCAAGGAUGGUCCGGCUAAGCUGGAGCCCAAUGGCGUCCCCUGGGCAGUGGCUGUCCAGCCCCAGCGCCAACUCUGGGAGACAGCAGAAGACCAGUGAGUAUUGGGGCUGGGCUGGAAGCUGCCACCCUGGCCUUAGGACUCUUAAGGACCAGAAACAUUGAAGUUUUACUGAAUUUUGGUUGUUGCAAAUGGUGUGGUCUGCCCAAGGGCCAGCAGACUUUCUGGGAAGGGCCAGAUCGCAAAUAUUUCUGGCCCUGUGGACCACACGUGGUCUCUGUUGCAUAUUCUUUUUUGUUCUUUUUGUUUUUGCAGCCCUUUAAAAGUAUUAAGAACAUUCUUAGUUCACAGGUCAUACACAAACAGGCCUUGGGUCAGAUGUGGCCAUCCAUCCUCUGUGGACCCCAGCCUGGUUUCAGAAACAGGGUUUGUGGGAGCACGGCUGAGCACACUCACGUACUUACUGUCUACGGCUGCUUUUUCGUGACAACAGCAGAGACCCUGUGGCCUGAAAAGCUGAAAAUAGUCACUACCUGGCCCUCUACAGAAAAAGCCUGCUGCCCCAGUCUGCGGUCUGGUCUGCCACUUGGAAGACCACAGCCUGAGACACUAACACCCUCAUAUUUGGGGCCCGCUGGUGUUGCAAACAAAUCCUGGUCACUGAUUUGACAGCCUGGGCCGCUCGUGCAGGUGCCCACGGUAAGGGUGCUCUCCGAUCGGACCGCGCUGCCUCUUGGAUCCCUCUUGGGCCGGAAGUGGCCAUGCAGCCAUCAUUGUGGACGAGGCGAUGACAGGGACCCUGUGCCGCCUGUGUGAGCUGGCGUGCAUGAGUUGGCAAAAACAACUUCCACAUACCAGGCUAAAGUCUCCUGACAGAAGCUGGCCUCCCUGCCUCACUGUGGGGCACGCCUGCCCCUGCCCCCAGGACCACCAGUGGGGUCUCCGCUCUCCAGGUUAUUGUGUUGCUGUUCCAGUCCAAUUAGCCUGCCCUGGCUAUACCGCUGAGCGCUUUUGACUUUCUGGACGAUUUGCAUCUGACAGUGAUGCUCCCUUUGUCUCAGGUCACUCAGCCAUGGGUCACUAAUCACGUAUUGAUGGAUAUUCCAGGAUCCCUCCCAUCCACAGGCUCCUGGCAUUUUCAAGCUCUAGAUCAGCCUCCUCAAGAAUCAACUCCGAAAGACUCCAGCCUCUGCCUCCCUGCCUGCUCCUGGUCCACACACCAUGGGCAUGUGCUCCUGGUCCACACACCAUGGGCAUGUGCUCCUGGUCCACACACCAUGGGCAUGUGCUCCUGGUCCACACACCAUGGGCAUGUGCUCCUGGUCCACACACCAUGGGCAUGUGCUCCUGGUCCUGAACAUGGUCAUCCCAUCCUCCAAAAGGGUUCUUCUCCGCUUGGCCACCCUUUGGGUAAUGACAGGACAAAAUGUGGGGCCUCUGCGGGGUGACACAGACCUACCUGGAAGCCUUGAGGUUUGGCCCUGACCGUUUCUGGGCCUGAUAAGGCUCUUUCCCUGACAGCUGCCCCAGCCCGCCUGGUUGGUUUGCUCUCCAGGUGGCAGCCAGGCCAAAAAGGGGCCUCAGGAAUUCACUCAGCUCUGGUUCGGCCACCUGGGUUCUCCUGUGGGGCUGACACAGUCCUGAGUCAUGAACAUGUGGGUGGCUUGGUUGACGGCACUGCUAGCUGGGUUCAUCUGCGGUGGUCUGUGGGUGCCAGCCUGGGAGCAGGGCGUCUCUGUGGCUCUCACACGGGUGCUCCUGCUGGCCUUGUGCCUGCACCGCCCUGUGACAGGUCUGGGUGUGAGUUGGGGACAAACUGGGGAAAGGUGAGUGAAAGUUCCUGGGAUGUGCAUUCUGGCUUCCUGGCUGAAGAGAGAGAACGCCAGUCCCGGCUCCUGACCAGGGACCACCUUAGACCCCGGGACGUGCAGGGGGCUGAGUGAACAACGAAUGUUCUUUGCCCCUUAAAUCCAGCACCUGGCAAGGUGCCUCAUGGCCUGCCUGAGUCAGGCUACUGCUGAGCUGGCAACCUGACCUGCGCUGGGUUCCCCAUCUCUGUCCUGUGGAUCCAGGUGGUAUCUGCACCCAAACGUGCCCCCAUGUAAGUGCAUGUGUGGGCACAACCUUGCUUCCAUCUUGCUGACUUGAAUUCAUAGCUUCCCCGUCAUCUGAGCGCCUGUGGGUUACGUCGUGUAUGGUGACCAAAGCUGCAAAUGCGCGGUGACAUGGCAAAAAGACUUAACCAAAUCAGCACAGCAGGGACCACGGCAAGGCGAAUGGCGGUUCUCAGACAGAGCUACUCGGGUUGCGUGUUACCUGGGAGGGAGUGAGCCUUGGAAUGCCUCUCCAGUCGGGAAAGGGAUCAAGGUACCCACCACCUUGGUUUGCCUGGAACUGAGGGGGUCCCCGGGACAUGAGACUUUCAAUUCCGGAUAAACCAGGACGAGUUGGUCAUCGUAGCGGGAGCUGCUUUUUUGGCUCAUUCAUUGCCUCUGUAAUUAUUGACGGUGGCGUCAACAGGGCAGUCAAACUCCUUGCAUGGGCCACAGGGAUAACAGCCAGGCCUUAGGCUGCAUCCUGGCUCUCUCAAAUUAGACCUACGGGGCUCUGCAGGAUUCUUCACAGCUGGCUGUGCCUGGGCCCCUGAGGGUCAUGGUUGAGGUCCCGCUGUGGGAUUCCUGUGGACGGCAGCCUUCACCCACUUGCCGUGGGAGGAGAUCAGAAGGAUUUGGUUCUGGCUGCUGGCAUGGCGUAUACUGGUAUGAACAUUUGAGUUUGGCCAAGAAUGUGUGGGGCUGAGGAGGUAGCUUGGUAAGAGAGGCACUCUGCUGUGCCUCUGCACUUUUUUGCCAACUACAAGAGAAUACAAGGCCCUGUCCACUCUUUGCCUGGGUCAUUUCUUAGGGUUGUGUUUGCAGAGAUCCACCUUGAGGGAUGAACCGUCGCCUUGGGGGCAAAAAGCAGGCUUGCUAUGGAACAGCUGCACUCCCCAGGCUCCAUGUUUCUUGGCUGUGAUGUAAACCCACUGUGUACGGCGUCUCCUUGGUCCCCUCCACGCCAUGCUGGCAGGACUUAGACAGCAACAGAACCCAACACAAACCACUCUUGCUACUUGCUGUGCCAUGAGGCUCUAACAUGAGAGUCUCAUGCUUUCUGCCGGCACCCAUCAACCAGUAACAGGGCAACUUGUUAGUUUGUAAGAAGGGUACAAUCCUGACAUUUUAUAUAAAAUGAAAAAUGUUCUAGAAAAAUGCAACUUGGCUGGGUGUGGUGGCUCACGCCUGGAAUCCCAGCACUUUGGGAGGCCAAGGUGGGUGGAUCACCUGAGGUCGGGAGUUCGAGACCAGCCUGACCAACAUGGAGAAACCCCGUCUCUACUAAAAAUACAAAUUAGCCAGGCAUGGAGGUGCAUGCCUGUAAUCCCAGCUACUCGGGAGGCUGAGGCAGGAGAAUUGCUUGAACCCGGGAGGCAGAGGUUGCAGUGAGCCGAGAUUGUGCCAUUGAACUCCAGCCUGGGCGACAAGAGCAAAACCUCCGUCUCAAAAAAAAAAAAAAAAAAGAAAGAAAGAAAAAUGCAACUUAUCAAAUGUAAGUGGAAAUAGAAAAUGCAACUUUUUAUAUAAUCAUUAAAUUGAAUGAAUAUUCAAAAUUUUCCCAGCAAGAAACUCUAGGUCCAUAUAGCAUCACCAGUGAGUUACACCAAACAUUCAAGAAAUAAUUCCAGAGACACAUAGACUCUUCUAGAUAGAAAAAUCCAUUUUAUGAGGCUACCAUAACCUGGAUACUAAAAUUUAACAAAGACAGUACAUGAAUGGACAACUCCAGGCCAAUUUCACAUUAAGUUGCUAAAACCUUAAAUGAAUUAUUAGCAAACUGAUUCAGCAAUAUACAAAGAGGAUAAAUAAUCCACCAUGGGCCGGGCGUGGUGGCUCACGCCUGUAAUCCCAGCACUUUGGGAGGCCGAGGCAGGAGGAUCAUGAGGUCAGAUCGAGACCAUCCUGGCUAACAUGGUGAAACCCCAUCUCUACUAAAAAAAUACAAAAAGAAUUAGCCGGGCAAGGUGGUGGGUGCCUGUGGUCCCAGCUACUCGGGAGGCUAAGGCAGGAGAAUAGCGUGAACCCCGGGUGGUGGAGCUUGCAGUGAGCCAAGAUCGUGCCACUGCACUCCAGCCUGGGCGACAGAGCAAGACUCCAUCUCAAAAAAAAAAAAAAAAAAAAAAAAUCCACCAUGACAGAGUGGGCUUUUGUUAGGAACACAGCUAUGCUUUACAUCAGAAAACCAAUUAAUUUAAUUUGCCAUUAAAUUAACUUUAUUAAUUUAAUUUGCCAUUAAAUUAACUUUAUUAAUUUAAUUUGCCAUUAAUUUGAUUAAUUUAAAUGACCAAUUUAACAGAUUAAAGGAGAAAAUCAUAUUAUCAUCUGAAGAGGUAUAGAGAAGGCAUGGAAUAAAAGUCAACGUCCAUUUGUGAUUAAAAACGCUGGGAAUACAAGGAGAAGGCUGCCGGCAAUCUGAAGAAGGCUUCAGACACACAAGUGCACACAUCGUAUUCAAUGCUGAACCCGGAACACUUGCUUUUUGAGACUAGGAACAAGUCAAGGGUUCCACCAACACCACCGCUAUGAGACGAUUCACGGGAGGCCUUGGCCAGCACAGGCACCAACACCACCGCUAUGAGACGAUUCAUUGGAGGCCUCGGCCAGCACAGGCACCAACACCACCGCUAUGAGACGAUUCAUGGGAGGCCUCGGCCAGCACAGGCACCAACACCACCGCUAUGAGACGAUUCACGGGAGGCCUCAGCCAGCGCAGGAAGACACAAAAAUGUGUCACAAAGUAAAAUGAGUAGAAAGGAGCCCCACUGCUGCUGUGACUGAAUGUGGAUGUAGAAACCCCAUGGACUCUGCACAUAGAUGAUUUAUCAAGAUUCAUAUGGGAUUUUGUCAGGCAGUUGGAUAUAAAGUUAGAAAAUGUAAAAAAUCAAUUAUAGUUCUAUGUGCCAGCAAUAACCAGAAAAUGAGAUUAAAGACACUAUUUACGAUAGUGUGAAAAAAACCAAGUACCUAAGAGUAACUCUAACAAAAGAUGUGCAAAACUUCUCUGCACUCGAUUCUGAAACCUUACUGAAAAUGUUAAAGUCAACUAAGUAAAUCCAGAAAUAUGCCAGGUUCCUAGAUUGCACGACUCAAUAUGGUAAAGGUAUCAGUUUUCCUCACAUUGAUCUGUAUAGUCAAUGCAAUCCCAAUAAAUAUCACAACAGGUGUGUGUAUACGUGUGUGUAACUUGAUAAGCCAAUUCUACAUUUUAUGUGAAAAUGCAAAGUCCAAAAUAACCAAGACUGUCUUGUGAAAAGCAAGGUGGAAGGGCUUGUUCUAGGAGACACCAGCCUUUCUCGUCAGGCCACAGUUAGCCCAACGCUCCUGGCUCAGGGACAGAGAAGCAGGAGGGAGAGCCCGGGAACAGCCACAACGGCGCUGGGGGUGUGUGGGGAGAGGCGGCUUUUCAACAAGGGUGCUGGCUCUGCUUUCAUUUCCUCCAAAAUGGAACCUGCGUGACUCUACCUCGGGCCCCAAGAGAAGAUCACCUCCAGGUGUAUUAGAGACCUGCGUGUGAAGGACAAAAUGAAACAGCUGCAAGACUGUUGGAAAGCAAUAUGGAGAAUUUACUACAGUAAAAUUAACACCUUCUAUCCACCCAAGGAUGCCAUUAAAGAGGAUGAAACGAGUGCAGAAUGAGAAAAGAUAUUUGCAGCACCUAUGACCUGGUGUUACCAAGAACCCCCACGAAUCGGCGAGAAAGAAGAUAACUCUGUAGAAAAGAGGGAAAACACUUGAACAGUCACUCCACAAAAGAUGAAAUCCAAUGGUAAGUGAACAUAUGAGACUGGCUCAGCCUCAUUCAUAGAAAAGAAAAGGAGACCAUGGUGACCUCCCACCAUGUAGCUGCUCCAUUUGCAGAAGCGUCGGCCGGGGUGUGGCCCUGGGCAGCAUCCACACACAGCACAUCCCACGGCUCAGAAAUCCCACUCCUGGGUGUGGACUUGACACAAAUGUGGACUUGUGUGCACUGGGACAUGCCUUCAAGAGUUUUCACAAACAGCAUUGUUAAGAGUAGUCUAGGCCUGGCAUGGUGGCUCACACCUUUGAGAGGCUGAGGUGGGCAGAUCACCUGAGGCCAGGAGUUCGAGACCAGCCUGGCCAACAUGGUGAAACCCUGUCUCUCCUAAAAAUACAAAACUUAGCCAGGCAUGGUGGCAUGCAGUUGUAAUCCUAGCUACUUGGGAGGCUGAGGCACAAGAAUCACUUGAACCUGGGAGGCAGAGGUUGCAGUGAACUGAGAUCGCACCACUGCGCUCCAGCCUGGACAAGACAGCGAGACUCCAUCUUAAAAAAAAAAAAGAAAAGAAAAAAGAGUAGUCUAAAGCUAGGAACAGCCCCACCUAAAAAAUUAAAAAUAGAACUGACAUAUGGCCUAGCAAUCCCACUUCUGAGUAUAUACCCAAUGAAAUGAAACCAGUAUCUCAUAGAAUAGCUGCACUCCCAUAAGCAAGAUAUAGACUCAACCUAAGUGUUUGCUGACGGAUGAAUGGAUAAACAAAAUGUGGUGUAUAUAUACAGACAUAUGUACACACAAGGGAAUAUUAUUCAGCCAUGACAAAGAGAGGGAUCCUGCCAUUUGCAACAACAUGGAUGAAACUGAAGGACAUUAUGCUCAGUGAAAUAAGCCAGGCGCAGAAAGACACUUAUAUGUGGAAUCUAAAAUAGCUGAACUCAGCCAGGUGUGGUGGUUCACGCCUAUAACCCCCAGCACUUUGGGAGGCUGAGGCAGGAGGAUCUCUUGAGGCCAGGAGUUCAAGACCAGCCUGGACAACAUAGCAAGACCCUGUCUCUACAAAAAAAGAAAAAUAAAAAAAUAUAGCUGGA